This 386-nucleotide small RNA is filed under the name Pongo abelii (Sumatran orangutan). RNAcentral describes it as "processed transcript". The record is from RNAcentral. Lineage: Eukaryota; Metazoa; Chordata; Mammalia; Primates; Hominidae.
CUGGCUUCAGGCUCAUGUUUCUGACUUGGAAUAUCGAAUUCGUCAGCAAACAGACAUUUACAAACAGAUACGUGCUAAUAAGGUAAGGGAUAAGUAUCUGGUGUUUUUAAAUGCUGCCGGAAACUAUCAAUAUCGCUGGUCUCAAACUCUUGAUCUCAAAUGAUCUUCCUUGCUUUGGCCUCCCAGAAGCACUGGCUUGACUCUACAUUGUUUUUUAAAAUCUCCUCUUCUGACUGCUCUUUGAGAUUACACAGCUGUAGCUGAGGAUGGAAAUGUUAUUGAGGAUGGGAAGUGGAAGAGCAUUGAAACUUUUGAAUAGGGAAGGAGCUGAAUGGGAACCGCAGAAGCUUAGAACACCUUUCUCUUCAAAAUUUUUGUAAAGUUGU